CUCUAGCAAAUUAAUCAAACCCAGAGAGGAGGUCAUGAUCUGUAACCUGGAAUAGCAACUGGACUUGCAACUGGCAUCUGAUAUUCAAAGAGGUAAUCUUUGGAAUCUCUAAUCUGUGGCCAGUCAGUCAGAAACACAGGUGAUAACCUGGGCUUGCUAUUGACAUCUAAAGUGUUAGGCAGGGGCAUUCUUGUAGGAAUGAAAUUUAACCUGAUCAAUCUUAUAGAAUAGUAUCAGAAUUGAGUUGGAUUGUAGGACCUCUAGCUGGUGUCAGAGAAUUGCUUCUUGGUGGGGUACCUCCCUCCACCCCCACUGAAACUGGCUUCGGAACACCAAAAAAGAAAACCAUACUGCAUAACAGGAAUGACGUAUACGACCCAACUAGCCUAUACAUACAUACAUACAUUACCCUACUACGAAGUAGAGUUUUGGAAUUUUCUCGUUCUCUUUCACAAAGAUAGAGAGAAAGUUGAGUAAUUGAGACUAAGGAAAUGUUUCUCUUUUGGUUUGGGUUCAUCUUUGCCCAGGUGCUAAUAAUUCUUUUCUGUUUUUUAUUUCAUUGGAAUUUGAUAGCUUCUUGCUUCAUUUGGAUCAUCGGUAUACUUUGCAGAUUAUUCUCAGAAUCUGCUAACACUAUUGUUCAAAGUUCAAAUCUUUACCAUUUAGUUUUGUGGAAGUUUAGUUUUGUGGUUUUCCCAUUAAAUUUUACGUAAUGCUUUUUAACAAGGAAUAGCAUUCUUUCACCUAAUAUUCUUGUUUUUGUUGGCUGUCUCUCUUCAGUAUUUGGAAAGUCUGUAUAUCUUACUUCUUUCAGAAGGAAUAAUAAUGUCUUGUUUAGGGACCAACCUGAUAAUUAAUUUAUUUCCCAACAGGGAAAAAAUGGAUAUCAUAAUAUUUUGCAAGAAAUUAUUUAACCUCUACAGCUCAAAGUAUGCUUGUUUUUGACCAUUUCAUUCCCAGUACUGCCUAACCUCCAAAAACAGUUUGUAAGAUGCAGAGUGCUAUGCAAAUGUUAAUUUAUAGUGUUGUUAAUCUUAUUGAAACUUGAAAGACACAUUAUUUUUUCUUUUGCUUCUUGAAAUUCUUUUUCCUUCCUGCAAAACCAAGAGAGAAAACAAUAUGAUGAAUCCUACACAAACAGAAAGAAAAAUUUCUUAUCUAUUUCCAUUAUUUCCAGAUUUUCCAAAAUGAGUAUCUAUCUUCCAAGGUUUCUUUUCCCUUACAGCUUUAUUGAGAUAUAAUUGAUACACACACAUGCAAACACACACACACAAAGCUGGACAUAUUUUAUACAUUCAAUUUGAUGGGUUUGGAGAUGUAUAUAUACCUGUGAAACAAACCAUUACCACAAUCUUACUUUCCUUGUAUCUACUAAUUCUGUGUCCUUGGAACACAAAGAAAUCUGAGCUAUAAGGUUUCUAAUCUUGUUCUUGCUUUUAGUUUCAGUUUUAGUGAGGCAUUCUAAAUUUUUACAGUCAGGCUAAAAUCUCCAAAAGCUCUGGACAUAAAGUCUAACUCAGUCUCUAUACAUAAAAUUUUCUUUUCCCCUCUAUACCUAGUGAAAUUUACACUCAGGUUAUGCUCUAAUUAGUUUCAUUUUUAAGAGUCUAACAUGAAAUCAUCAAAGUAACAAGUCUCAACUGCAUAACUUGACAUCUCAUUAACACUUGGGUUACAGCAUAUGGUGCUUGGGUUAUUUGAGUUAAUGUGGGUGUCGGUGAGGUGGCAAAGGUGGGGUCUAGUGAGUCAAAUUUUUCUGGCAUUUGACAUGUUACUUUAAGGGAAAUAUUAGUUACAUUUUCUGAGUAUAGUAUAUGCUCAUGAAUGUCAUAGACUCUUUAGGUAUAGCAAUUUAGAUGAGUUACUGGGUAAAUGCUUCUGAUAUUUAAGUUAAAAUGUGCCUGACACCAAUGUGAUAAAGCACAAUACAGUUUGAUGGAGAGUUGCCAUGGUUUGACAUAUUUACUACAAAGGUAACUGCAGCCUAAUCAAUUUCAUUAUCUGAAGAUACAGAUAUAGUGUUUAUAGUCAAAAUUAUUUUCCUUUAGUCUCUGCAAAAAACUCAAGUUAUUUCUUCAUGCUUUAGAUUUGGAUAUUUUGACAAAUUGCCAGCUACAAUUUAAACAAGUUUAUUGGACAAACUGUAUGUUUAUUUAUUUUGAGAUAUAUCUUGCUUUCUAGAAGAAAAGGAGAAUGGGAAGCCUGGUAUAGCUAGUUUUAAAAAUUAGGCUUAUGUUAGAUAAAAAUCUAAAUGUUAAAGUUCUUUUACUUUAUCUAUUCAUAAAUACAUUUCAAUUAGUCUACAUGAUAAGUACUUCACUGAACGCAAAAGCUUGAGGUGACCAGAUGGUAGAACUAUAGGAUUUGGAGCCCAGAGGGACACAGGGGUCAAAUAAUCCAAUAUUUUAGCUUUACAGAGGUGAAGACUCAGCCUCAGAGCUAUGGCUUAUUUCUUAUUUUAUUAUUUUUUUAAAAUUUUUAUUGAAGUAUAAUUAAUUUACAAGGUUGUGAUAAUUUCUGCUGUACAGCAAAGCAACCCAGUCAUAUACAUACACAUAUCCAUUCUUUCUCAGAUUCUUUUCCCACCUAGACAAUCACAGAAUACUGGGUAGAAUUCUCUAUUCUAUACAGCAGGUCCCCAUUGGCCAAUAAUUCCAUAUACAGUGGCUUAUAUUUUUCAAACAGCAGUUUCUUCCUAUACAAAAUAAAACAACUUUAGACAGACAAAUAAAUGAGUCUAUGAUAAGGAGAUGGAGACAACUGAUUUACUUAUGACAUCGCAUUUAACAUUCUAAACAAAUGAAAGUAGAACCCAGGGACGAGUUAUGACACAGAAUGAAUUAAGGCCUGAUGUCACAAGUCAUGCAGAGACAUUGCUGUAGGUAGUGACUGCCAAUGUCAAGAGUAAGUGUCAUUUCCUAAGUAACUAUAAUUGGUUUUCAAACUGAGACCUAGGAUUUCAAGGUGUAUAUUCUGUAUAGUUGUAUAUGCAACACUGUGGAUAAAUGCUCUACUCCACCACCAUGCUUUUCUCAUCUGUUUUGCCUGUUUGAAGCAAUGUAAUCUCUUAAGAUUUUGUAGCUUUGCUUUUUAGCAUCUUUUUCUUUUCUUUUCUUUUCUUUUUGUUUUGAUACAGCAUUGUUUGUGUAAGAAUACACAAUAGAAUUUCCAAGUUGUCCUUUAAAUUCCAGUGAUGCUUAAUUUAACUUGAUCAGAAUGUUGUUCUAUUUACUUACUUAUUUUUUGUAUAGAAAUUACCUUUAUGGAUAGGUUAUGACAAAAGCAGGUAGAAAAAUAGGCAAAUACUACAUGUUCUGAAUUCUUUAAUAUUUAUUCAGAUCAUGUUUGAAAAUAUGGAAGCAAAGAGGAAAAUCUGAGCAUAUAUAACAUUAGAAUAUUGUCUUCACAAGGAUAAUGUAAAAAGUAUGGUAUCUGUUUUUUUUUGUUUUUCUUUUAAUUCCUUUAAAUUUGCAAUAUUUUCCUAGUGUAAACAAUAUCUUUUCAUUGUAAGAAGCCUUUCAAAGUAUAUAACAUAUAAUUGAAUAUAUUUUCUUUAAUUAUAAAUGUGAAGAAUAAAAUGCUAUUUAAUAAUUGGUCUUGAAUAUAAUGAAAAUUUUGGCAUGUAAUAAUUUUUUGGCAUGUAGCUAAAAAGCAAAGCUACAAAAUCAACUUCUUUUUCUUUUUAUGGCAGCACCCACAGCAUAGGGAAGUUCCCAGGCUAGGGGUCGAAUUGGAUUUGAAUUGCCAGCCUACACCACAUCCACAACAAUGCUGGAUCCUUAACCCACUGAGCAAGUCCAGGGAUAAAACCCACAUCCUAACAGACACUGUGUCAUAUUCUUAACCCAUUGAGCUAUUGAGCCACAAUGGGAACUCCUAUUCUUUCAGCUUUUAUAUGUUAGCUGAGAUUUAAGUCUAGUUUAGCAUUAUUUCUUUCAAGACUAAUUUUUAUAUACCAUUUUGAUAUUUACUUUGAAGUGUAAGGACUUGUUAGUAAUUAUAUUCUAAUUAUAAGAUUAAUCAUAUUUAUAAAUACAAAAAGUAUUUGGAUUAUUUUACCAAUAUCAAUUCUUUUACUCUGGUAUUUCUGAAAUUGGUUUCUUUAUAUGGAUUCACCCCUAAGUUAGCUAGAGUAAGUUUUUGAGCAAUAUAAGUGUUACACUCUCUCCCCCACUUGUCUAAAAUAAUGUUUAGUUGCUCUUGAACCUGCAAGAGCAAUUGACUGGACAUGGAAUUCUUGUUUCAUAAUUGUUUCCCCUCAAUCCAUUGUUCUGUAGAAGAAAAUUCUGACUCCAAACUGAUAAAUUUUUUGACCCUCUUUAGAUAAUACUUUCUUUUCUUUGCUAUGGUAAUUAUAAACCUCUUAAAAUACAAGACUUUACAAAAUAAAAGUUUGGGUACCACCUCACACCAGCCAGACUGGCCAUCAUUAACAAGUCAACAAAUAACAAAUCCUGGAGAGGGUGUGGGUAGGAAGGUAAUUUGGUACAACAACUAUGGAAAACAAUAUAGAGGUACCUCAGAAAACUAAAUAUAGAACUACCACAUCACCCAGAAAUCCCACUCCUGGGCAUACAUCCAGACAAAACUUUCGUUGAAAAAGUACAUGCAACCUCAUGUUCAUUGCAGCACUAUUCACAAUAGCCAAGGCAUGGAAACAACCCAAAUGUCCAUCGAUAGAUAAAUGGAUUAAGAAGAUGUGGUACACAUACACAAUGGAAUACUAAAGAACAAAAUAAUACCAUUUGCAGCAACAUGGCUGCAACUAGAGACUCUUAUACUAAGUGAAGUAAGUCAGAAAGAGAAAGACAAAUACUUGUAUCUGGAAUCUAGUAUAUGGCACAAAUGAACCUAUCUAUUGAAAAGAAGCAAACUCCUGGACUCGGAAAACAGACUUAUGGUUGCCAAGGGGGAGGGGAUGGAGUGGGAUGGAUUGGAAGUCUGGAGUUAACAGAUGCAAACAAUUGCUUUUGGAGUGGAUUAGCAAUGAGAUCCUGCUGUAUAGCACAGGGAAGUAUAACUAGUCACUUGUGAUCGAACAUGAUGGAAAAUAAUGUGACAAAGAGAAUAUAUAUAUAUAUAUAUGACCGGACUGCUGGUGCAGAAAUUGACAGAACAUUGCAAAUCAACUAUAAUAGAAAAAAUAAAAAUCUUUAUUAAACUGAAAAAAAAAAAACAAAAGCAGAGAUUGAAAUUCCUGUUACAGCCUAGCAGGUUAUGAACCCAACUAGUAUCCAUGAGGAUGUGGGUUCAACCCUUGCCUUACUCAGUGGGUUAAGGAUCCAGCAUUGAUUGCCAUGAACUGUGGUGUAGGUCACAGAAGCAGCUAGGAUCUGGUGUUGCGGUGGCUGUGGGUAACCUAGUAAGCUACAUCUCUGAUUCAACCCCUAGCCUGG
RNAcentral lists this long non-coding RNA (5396 nucleotides) under Sus scrofa (pig). RNAcentral's name for it is "lncRNA (ENSSSCG00000054155.1)". The record is from RNAcentral. Lineage: Eukaryota; Metazoa; Chordata; Mammalia; Artiodactyla; Suidae.